Molecule: ribosomal RNA, 418 nt
Filed under: uncultured bacterium
Lineage: Bacteria
Description: partial 16S ribosomal RNA
Rfam family: Bacterial small subunit ribosomal RNA
Source: RNAcentral
AGAGUUUGAUCAUGGCUCASAGUGAGCGCUAGCGGUGCGCCYAACMCMUGCAAGUCGAGCGCCCCCSCMAGGGGGAGCGGCGGACGACUGCGUAACMCGUUGGAACCUUCCCCGGACUCMGGGAUACCCCCSCGAAAGCGGGGCUAAUACCGGAUGCCCUCGCMAGAGGAAAGAUUUUUCGGUCCGGGAGGGGCCUGCGGCCUAUCAGCUUGUUGGUGAGGUAACGGCUCACCAAGGCGACGACSGGUAGCUGGUCUGAGAGGACGACCAGCCSGGAUGGGACUGAGACACSGCCCAUACUCCUACGGGAGGCAGCAGUGAGGAAUCUUCCGCAAUGGGCGAAAGCCUGACGGAGCGACACCGCGUGGAGGAUGAAGUUGUUCUUCAACGUAAACUCCUGUUCUGAGGGAACAAAUUU